GGUUUGUGGCUCAGUGGUAGAGUGCUCGCCUAGCAUGUGUGAGGCACUGGAUUCGAUCCUCAGCACCA
Molecule: transfer RNA, 68 nt
Filed under: Marmota monax (woodchuck)
Lineage: Eukaryota; Metazoa; Chordata; Mammalia; Rodentia; Sciuridae
Description: tRNA.Ala
Source: RNAcentral